AAAAUCACAAUGAUGGAAAGUAGAAAUAAAACAACAAAAAUAAGAAAAAGGGCGCGCAGGUCUCAUACCCAGGUCAUUGGGGUUGAGAGACCAAAGCCUCAACCAACCCAAUCAUAACACUUAACUUGUUAACAAUGGUAUUGAAAAAUAUAUAUAUAAGAAAAAAUGAAACUAAAAUGGAAAAAUGAAAUGCAACACAAACUCAGGACCACAUCGAAACACAACCUCAUGAAUAUU
Molecule: long non-coding RNA, 237 nt
Filed under: Lathyrus oleraceus (garden pea)
Lineage: Eukaryota; Viridiplantae; Streptophyta; Magnoliopsida; Fabales; Fabaceae
Description: Pisum sativum (pea) long non-coding RNA (PSAT_LNC028082)
Source: RNAcentral